This is a non-coding RNA of Ricinus communis (castor bean), 91 nucleotides long. Lineage: Eukaryota; Viridiplantae; Streptophyta; Magnoliopsida; Malpighiales; Euphorbiaceae. The record is from Rfam.
UUUGGAUCAGUGAUGUUUAUUGAUAUACUGCGUUAUCUAUCUGAAUAUUAUUUCAUUUGAAGAAGAUAACUAUAAGAUGCUGAGAUCCUUC